CAACAAAGUACCAGCAGAAACUCUGCUGCUGUUGGCAAAAGAAAAGGAGAGGGGAAAAGACCAAUCAGCAAAUUACUAGGCAAAAUAUUAUAUCAUAAUAUAAAAUUCAUAAUGUAGUUUAAUGUACAUAAAUUAUAUGUUAGUGCAAUGUAUUAAAUUUUUUUGAUGACUUAAUAAAGGGCCAUGGUGUAAUAAAUGCUACAAAUGUAUCAUUUUGUCCAGUAGUACAUGGUUACUUGGCAACAUGAUGACAUCAUAAGAUCUGAUAGAAAUGACCCUCCGCAGUCCAAAGAUCUAUCUGUGUACUUAGUAUGUUUGCCCAACUUCUGGUUGCACAGGACGAGUUUACAGAUGAUUUUGUGCAUUAUCUGUGGCUGGCUAAUUCAUACCAGAAACCUGACGUGUUCACCUUAGAAUUGCCAGUGACUCACAUAUGAUGAUAAAGAUUUGUUCACAACCAAUGCUGUGAAUUUCCUCAGCAAUUGUGCUACUUGAUUAUUGCCUCCUACCAUGUGGACUCGCAUAAAUACAUCCAUAAAUGAAUAAAUAUGAAUAAAAAAAGCAAUGUGCAACAACACACACUGAAAUGUAUGCAGAAUUUCAAACUUUUUAAUGGCCUCCACUGUAAAAAAAAAAAAAAAAGCAAAAUUGAAAAAAGAAAACCUGAAAAAACAAACAAUCAAAUUGACCUGUAAACUGACCUUUAUAACUCUGAAUGAACACAUCUGUCUGAGGAGGAGAAGAGCAGAAACUGCAAUUUACCAUUUGACCAGUCCCGUCUCUGUCUCUCCAAAUCUAUCAGCAGUUAUGAAUAAUUAAAGAAGUAACUAUGCUUUUGCCACAUGUGUAAAUGCGUGCCUUACUGCUAUUUCUCUUACCGCAAAAAGCCCUUCAAAAGCUAAUUAAUCCCUAUGAACCCUCAUGUUAAGAUGGCCAGCUUCACAGCAGAAAUAAACUUGUUUACAGCUUGGAUUUUGUUGAGGCUUAAAGUUUCCCUCUGAAUCAUGUUAGUGCUGUUGCUGGUUAUUUGAGUACAUCUGAAAAUGCCAUGUUCUGUUGUGUGGUGCAGCCCAGAAACAUUUGCUGAAGUUCUGUUGAGUCAAAUUAUGUUUUUAUUUGCCUGUCAGAUGAGACUAAUAAGCAGGUAUAUGCGUUUAUGCAGUUUGCAGCUUGCAAACUAGGCUAACUGGCCUAAGAUGAUACUGCAGCAUGCAAUGCAACAUGGCAAAUAUGGCAGCAUCUGGAUUGAAAAGCACAAUAUGUGGCCAAACUAAUAUUGUAGUUCAACUUUAGUUUUUUUUUUUUUUUACAAUUUUGAAGGGUCAAUUUCUUUGAAUCAAAAUAUUGCAUCAAUCGGUAUGGAAGUUUGUUCCCGCC
Astatotilapia calliptera (eastern happy) is the source of this 1377-nucleotide long non-coding RNA. The record is from Ensembl. Lineage: Eukaryota; Metazoa; Chordata; Actinopteri; Cichliformes; Cichlidae.